CCUACGGGAGGCAGCAGUGAGGAAUAUUGGUCAAUGGGCGGAAGCCUGAACCAGCCAAGUAGCGUGCAGGAUGACGGCCCUACGGGUUGUAAACUGCUUUUAUACGGGAAUAACGCGCCUUACGUGUAGGGCUUUGCAUGUACCGUAUGAAUCAGGACCGGCUAAUUCCGUGCCAGCAGCCGCGGUAAUACGGGAGGUCCGGGCGUUAUCCGGAUGUAUUGGGUUUAAAGGGAGCGUAGGCCGCAUGUCAAGCGUGCUGUGAAAUGUCAGGGCUCAACCCGGGCCUUGAAGCGCGAACUGGCGAGCUAGAGUCCGCGGAAGGCAGGCGGAAUUCGUCGUGUAGCGGUGAAAUGCUUAGAUAUGACGAAGAACACCGAUUGCGAAGGCAGCUUGCUGCAGCGGAACUGACGCUGAUGCUCGAAAGCGCGGGGAGCGAACAGGAUUAGAUACCCCUGUAGUC
This 460-nucleotide ribosomal RNA is filed under the name uncultured bacterium. Its description in RNAcentral is "partial 16S ribosomal RNA". It matches the Rfam family "Bacterial small subunit ribosomal RNA", at positions 338 to 795 of the family's 1533-position model. The record is from RNAcentral.